Molecule: RNA transcript, 3649 nt
Organism: Salvia splendens (bonfire salvia)
Lineage: Eukaryota; Viridiplantae; Streptophyta; Magnoliopsida; Lamiales; Lamiaceae
Gene name: ABC transporter I family member 11, chloroplastic
Exons: 11
Source: RefSeq, a predicted model, not a curated record
GGUUUAGUAAAUGAAUUGAAAAUACAAUCAUUCGGCUGAAAUUCAGUUGUCCUUUGCAGCUCUCUAAUGGAGAGCGUACGAAUUUCCUCGUCGUCUCUGCUUGCUUCGAAACCGCCGAUUAACAGUUCUUCAACUGCGUUCUCCCCUCGACAUUGCUACAGCUUAAAUUCGAAAAGAAUUGGUGCGCGCAGAAUUGCAUGUGAUUAUUCCUGCUUCGAAUUUUGGUCUGAUCUUUGGACGAAGUGGAAGUGGGAAAACAACACUUUUGCAGGACUAAGUAAACCAACAUCAGGCUCAAUCUAUGUUCAAAGAUAUGGUGAAGAUGGUAAUCCAAAUCAAUGUCCCAAACUGUUGCAACCCAGAAGAGUUGGUAUUGUUUUCCAGUUUCCGGAAAGGUUUUUCAUUGCAGACAAUAUUCUUGAUGAAAUUAUAUUUGGGUGGCCAAGACAAAGAGCUGGCCUGCAAUUGAGAGAGAUUCUUGCUUCAAGGCUCCAAAAAGCUAUGACCUCGGUUGGGCUAACUGGAAUCCCUUUGGACAAAGAUCCCCAAUCACUGAGUGGUGGAUACAAACGUCGGCUUGCUCUAGCAAUUCAGUUGGUUCAAACCCCAGACCUAUUAGUACUGGACGAGCCUCUUGCUGGUCUAGAUUGGAAGGCCCGUGCAGAUGUGGUUAAAUUGUUGAGAGACCUGAAGAAGGAGCUGGCGUUGCUUGUUGUCAGCCAUGACCUUAAAGAGUUGGCACCUCUAGUAGAUCAGUCAUGGAGGAUGGAAAUGGGUGGAAUACUGAAGAGAGAAUGCCUGCCUAUUUAAUUAUGUGUCUUCACUUUCUAAUCAACUAAUGUUGCUGUAAUUAAGGGACAAGAACAGAAGCAUCCAGUAGAAAUUCUUGGCCACAUGAAUAUUGCUGAAGAGUUUAUUUAAGAAGUCCAUUUGGCAAUUGCAUGCUGAAGAGAGUGUGUCACACUAGACAGCUGUGUGAAUGUAAACUACUGUUCUGUUCCAUCAAAAAAAUAUUUUCCAGCUGAUAACCACAACCAUGCACUGCCCAUGCUCAAUGUAUAAAGGAAGUUGGGUAGUCAUAUCUAGAAUUAUCGUUGUGAAAUAUUUGGCUCAAUGCUCUCUCUCUCUCCCUCCCUCUCUCUCACACACACACGAACCUCGUGCUCGUAUGAACUACAUAUCAUGACAGGUUUGCUAUACCUCGUCCAUUCAAGUGUCGGCACUUGAAAUAUUUAGCUUAAUGCUCACGUCUGUCACGUUGUGCCUGCUAGGUGUAUCCUAGUUUCGCUCAGAUAAUCCUAGUUACCGAGCUAGGUGUAUGACAAGUAGAGUAAUCGAGAAAAAUACCACCAUGCAAGUUCAAUAUAAUAUUGUCAGCCGCAACAGCAACUUGCUAUAGGCGGAUAGUGACUCCACAGGUUGUUAGAAAAGAAGUCGAUUCAUGCGUUGCCCAACGUGUUUCUGUCUGGUAUACGUGUUAUAGGUCCAUAAUUGUAGUUAUGGAACUGGUGAGACAAAUAUUAGCUGAAUUAAUCAGGCAACGAUCCUCGUUUUCAGCUACACUACAAAAGGGUAACAGACAUAAAAUGUUGCCUUUUUUGGUUGGACAGGAACGAGUAGGAGUAGAGGGCUAUGGGGUGAAAUGAUGAACAAAUCCAUACAAACACUAGCCUCCACCUUUGCUAGAAUUCUGUACUCACUUGAACUUAGCGAUAGUAAGAGAGUGGUGGCUGUGGCUCCCACAUUGUGUUGCUAGUAUUGAUUUUCUAUUAGAUUAUGAUGCACUUAUCGCUUUCAAGUCUGAUAAUUUUGUGUGGUUAACCACUAAUUUCGCCUAAUUUUUUUGUGUUAAGUGAUUGUCUUCUUGUGUGUAGCUUUAUAUUUGCUGAUUAGAUUGGUUUCGCGGUGCUACACCUAUAAAUUAUAUUGGUCCCGCUACUAGACUUGUCAAGUGGGCCAGUCUUGAGACAUUGAACGGGUUUGGACUGGGCUCAUUAGUCAUGUAGGGUUUUAUGGGGUCUUCUUGUAAACACAGGAUCAGCCUGUGCCCAAGGCCAUUAGAAGUUUGGCCAGAGCCAGCCCAUGAUCGGCCCAAUAAAGGCCAAACUAAGUACUCCCUAUGUCCGUGAUUAGGAGUUUUAGUUUUUCGAUACUGUGUUUUGGAAAAUGUGAAUAGAAAAAAUUAGUGGAAUGUGGGUCGCAUUUUAAUAUAUACUCCCUCCGUCCUAUAAUAAAUGGUAUACUUGUAGGAAAUGUUAUUUUGUGUUAGGUGGAGAGAGAAAAUAGUAGUAGUACAUUUAUAUUAGUGUAAGAGAGAACUUUUUCCAAAAAAGGAAAUGUGACAUUUUUUAUGGUACAAACUAAAAAGGAAAAUGUGACAUCUAUUAUGAGAUAGAUAGAGUACUUAGUUUUAUAGUUUUAGUGCCUAUUUACCAUAUAUAGUAAAAAUAAAAUAAAAUUUCUAUUAGCGGAUGGACCACAAUGAUAAAAUGAGGCUUUGGUCUAGGUAGUAAUUAGCUCCAUUAAUCUCUUUUGAGUUGAUUUCGGUUUUAUAAAGUUAUAUGAAAACAAUUUAAAAUCAAACUCAACCCAAUUAGGCUUACUUACCAAAUGGGUUAGGUUUUGGUUGGAUUGGGCCUAAAUAUAUACUGCAUUCAUCUAUCAUAAAUAUAAACUUUUGAAAUGGAUAUGAGUUUAAUGUAUAAUUGGGGAAGCAGGAGAGAUAUAGAAAGAAAAAUGGAUUGAAGUACUGUUAUUGAAAAAUGGGUUUCACCUCAUUAUUUCCUAAAGGGAUGAAUGGAGUAUAAAAGCUCAGAUUGGCCCAAUCAUUCAGACAUAAGCCUUAACGGGCCCGAGUUGGGCUAGGACUGGCUUACUUGACCAAUUGCUACCUAUGAACACUCCCCGUCGCUAAACAAAUAUUAGAAUAUAAUUGAAAAAAUGAUGCCAAACGUUUCAUUUUAUCGUUGAUCCAAAUCCUCUAGUUAUUCUGUAUGAACAGUUUCUGAUAUUGGGCGUGUUGGCCUAACUAUUGUGCUGUACUCUAUGAUCGGGUUCUCUCACUCAUAAAAUGAAAAGAGUUAAUUUACAAAAAUAUAGUACUACUAUAAAUAUAAAUCAAUGUUCAGGACCAGUUGUGGUUAAAAUAUUUAUGAAAAUUUGACGCGUGUAUGUGUAUAGACGUAACAUAAUAUAUACAGUAUAUUGAUAAAUUGGUUAGGUUAUAGUAGCAAAAAUCGUGUCAUGGGUUGGAAAUAAGAACACAAUCGAACCACUAUUUAACGUUAAACAUGUGGUUAGGAUUACUUGACUAUUGCUUGUUGCAUUCUCCUUUCAAUUCAACCGGAUUCCCUUUGUUGGCUAGUAGAAACCAAAUGACGGAUGUUUCGUAUAAAUACAUUAAAAUAGAUUAAAUUUCGCCUAGUAUAAAAAGCCAACAGUUUUAAGCUUAUAUUCAGUACAAUUAGCAAGAAUUAACUAUAUAUGCUCAAUACUAAAUGGAGAGUACUUAAUUCUAAAUCCAAAUGAAAAGAAGGGUGGGUAGGGGACUGUUUAUUUGUUUUUAACACGCAUCGUAGAAAACCGCAGCGUUGAAACAGGAGAGAGGCCUCCCGCAUCCCAAUCAGCAUGAGGAAACGUGAAUAUAGAA